UGGGGAAUAUUGCACAAUGGGCGAAAGCCUGAUGCAGCGACGCCGCGUGAGGGAUGACGGCCUUCGGGUUGUAAACCUCUUUCAGCAGGGACGACGCGCAAGUGACGGUACCUGCAGAAGAAGCACCGGCUAACUACGUGCCAGCAGCCGCGGUAAUACGUAGGGUGCAAGCGUUGUCCGGAAUUACUGGGCGUAAAGAGUUCGUAGGCGGUUUGUCGCGUCGUUUGUGAAAACCAGCAGCUCAACUGCUGGCUUGCAGGCGAUACGGGCAGACUUGAGUACUGCAGGGGGGAGUGGAAUUCCUGGUGUAGCGGUGAAAUGCGCAGAUAUCAGGAGGAACACCGGUGGCGAAGGGGGGUCGCUGGGCAGUAACUGACGCUGAGGAACGAAAGCGUGGGUAGCGAACAGG
Molecule: ribosomal RNA, 409 nt
Filed under: Bacillota bacterium
Lineage: Bacteria; Bacillati; Bacillota
Description: Firmicutes bacterium partial 16S ribosomal RNA
Rfam family: Bacterial small subunit ribosomal RNA
Source: RNAcentral